Molecule: long non-coding RNA, 8232 nt
Filed under: Homo sapiens (human)
Lineage: Eukaryota; Metazoa; Chordata; Mammalia; Primates; Hominidae
Description: non-protein coding LINC01278:35
Source: RNAcentral
AUCCUCCCACCGCUUUCUCCUUCCCCCUCUUUCCUCUCUGUGGCUCUGGCAAGGACCACUCCCAUUGCAUCCAACACCGGCCUCCAAUUGUGGGUCCUGCAACCCUGGUUCCAGUCUGGCAAGCAUUGUAGACCUGGCUGCUGAAGACUGACGGGGCCCAGGGUCCGCUGCCCCCACCGCCAUCACCACCUCGGAACCCAGGGUAACGCUGUCAGUCUUUGAUGAUGUCAGAAGUGGGAUCCAAAGUAGAGCUUAUAAUGACACCUAGGAGUGCUGAGUGACCAAGCAAGGUACCCACCAGGCCGAUUAUGUCCAUUGUUCUCUUGGAGCAGCUGGUCAUCAUGUGAAGAGUAGAGGAAUGAAAAUGAGAACCCUAGACUCUUCUGGAUUUUAAUGUCAUCUUGUAAGUGGGAUAUAGUGUUAAAAGCUUUACAGACAUUCUCAUUUAAUCCUCAUAGCAGCUCUGUGACUUAAGGUAAGUGAAAUUAUGGACACUUUCUUUUCUUGCAGGUUUUCGAUAUAAGCAUGCAGCACUUUUAUAAUCAGAAAAACAGCAAAUAUAUACACAAAAAAUCCCUUCUUUCUCUCUCUACAAAAUUAAGACCACAAUAUUGUUUCAAUAUUUUGCUUUUUCAUUGUACUCAUCUCAUGUGCAGCUCUCCAUGUCAUUAAAUCUUCUUUUAAAAAAUGGUUUAGACAAUAAAUCCAUUUAUGAAGGUAAAAUGUUUUUAUUUAUACUUAUGUUAUAGAUCAUGUAGGAUAAAUAGUGGACUAUCAAAAGGAAUAUUACAAAUAUUUAAUAUUACUAUUAAAAAUCAUGUUUUCAGAGUAUUUAACAAUCUUGGAAAAUGUUCAUGAUAUACAUGAAAAACACAAGUUAUAAAAGUAUGAAAUAUGCUCCCAAUUUUAUAAAAUAUAAGUACAGGUUUAUUAAUAGGAGAGAAAACAGUAUUGUUAACAUUUUGGUGCAGUCUGGAUGGUAAAAUUAAUGGUAGUUUCGUCUUUUAUUUCACUGAAUUUUAGAAGAUCUCCACAAUGUCAGUACAUGACCUUUACAUUCUGACAAAAAAAAAAAAAAUAAAAAUAAUUACUAGAAAUGAUCAGGUAGAAAAUAUAAAACAGAUUUUGGAUUAAGAUGGUGGUCUGUAAAUUGUACACAGGGUUUUUAUUCUCAUCUUAAAUAUCUUAAACUGAAAGAAAAUAAUUUGUAUGCACAAACUCUUUCUGGGUGUGCGUGUGUUUUACAUUUUUUUUUUUUUUAAGUGAGGAAUUCCUGGAAGACAGAAAGCAGAUGGAGCCACUGUGUAGGAGGCUGGCGGGCAGCAGACCGCCAGAAAGGAGGAGGAGGGGAGUCGGCCUGUCUGGCUGGCGUUUGAGGGAAACGGUCGAGGGGCGGAGGAGGAAAUGAAAGAGAGGGCGCGUGUGUCAAUACAAACUGAACACGGGCACGCGCGCUGACCAGCCCGGCUGCCGCCCGCAGAGCGGAAGGCGGGAUGGCUGGGGGCGGGGCCAAGGCUCAGGCGGGCUCAGAGGGGGCGGGUUCCCUGCGCCGCAAAGACCCGGUCGCCAGAGUGAAGCCAAGCCAGCUAGCGCUGCGAAGCCCAGGCCGCGCGGACUCCCCAGAGACUUGCCGCCGCCUGCGCCUUUGCCGCUGCAGCCAUCCCUCUUACUCCUUGCCUUUCGUCCCCGUCGUCUCCUCUGCCGCCGUGCCGCAGCCGCACCAGCAUCGACAACAGCUAAGUGGCCGAUUCGGGGACUUGGGGUCGGGGUUGGGGCGGACGCAAGGCACGAACAGCACUCGCGAGCCCGCCAUCUCUACGUCAGCCGCCACUGCUGCAGUAACCCUUCUAGGGCGAGAGAGGAAAGCACUGUGGAGAGGCACACGCUGUCCCAGUGCUCACGGUUAGAGUUCGAGCGUUUCUGCCAAAACCUUGGUGAGAGCCUUGCACUUGGAGAAGGGAGCACAGACCAGGUCUUUGAGAUCGCAAAAAAUAUAUAUAUCAUAUUGCAUAGUGUUGACUUUUUGUCAGUUUAAUCGACCAGGGCAGCAGCUUUCCCCAAGCCCUCUUAAUCCCUGAGCUAUGUCUCCUCCAACCGUGCCUCCGAUGGGGGUAGAUGGCGUGUCCGCAUACCUGAUGAAGAAAAGGCACACCCACAGGAAGCAACGGCGCAAGCCCACUUUCCUCACUCGUAGGAACAUCGUGGGCUGCCGCAUUCAACACGGCUGGAAGGAAGGCAACGAGCCAGUGGAGCAGUGGAAGGGUACUGUGCUCGAGCAGGUUUCCGUGAAGCCCACUCUUUACAUCAUUAAAUAUGAUGGCAAAGAUAGUGUGUAUGGACUAGAACUGCACCGCGAUAAGAGAGUUUUAGCGCUAGAGAUCCUUCCUGAGAGAGUGCCAACUCCUCGUAUCGAUUCACGACUGGCAGAUUCCCUGAUUGGCAAGGCAGUGGAGCAUGUGUUUGAAGGUGAACAUGGUACCAAGGAUGAAUGGAAGGGUAUGGUCCUGGCGCGAGCUCCUGUGAUGGAUACUUGGUUUUACAUCACCUACGAGAAAGAUCCUGUUCUCUAUAUGUACACGCUGCUUGAUGACUACAAAGAUGGUGACUUACGCAUUAUUCCAGAUUCCAACUACUAUUUCCCUACAGCAGAACAGGAGCCUGGAGAGGUGGUCGACAGUCUCGUGGGCAAGCAGGUGGAGCAUGCCAAAGAUGACGGGUCCAAGAGAACUGGCAUUUUUAUACAUCAAGUGGUGGCGAAGCCAUCUGUUUACUUCAUUAAGUUUGAUGAUGAUAUUCACAUUUAUGUCUAUGGUUUGGUGAAAACUCCUUAAAUUCUUUGUGCUCUUUAGAGAAGUUGUGGAUCUGUUAGAUGUGAAUUAUUUUGUGUUCUCGUAGUUGUGAACGCAGAGAAGAGUUUAGGUGUCAGAAAUUCAGGAAAGUGGAUAAAUUUUAUUGUGCCAACAAAUCUUACCUUGACUAGUUUCACAAUUUUGCCUCAAGUGUACUUUGCUACUUUUGAUAUUGCCUUGUUCUGUAACUUAACAGUUAAAUUGGGUGCUAAUAGAAAAUUAAAAAGUGUUUGCAACCAUUGGAACAAUGCAAAAAUAGAUUAAGAAAAAUUAAUGGUGUAAACCCACACCCCGUCCUUACCCCUUCCUUUCCUUACCUUGUUUCUUCCCAGAAAACAAGUGUUGAGGAUGCGAAGUACAUCCUUCCACCUAUUUUCCCCAUCUUCAUGCAGAAAGUAUGUUCUAGUAGUUUCUGUAAAAAUGGCAAGCCACAUGCUUUUCUCACUUGACAUGUAGAUGAUAUCUCUUCUUAUCAGUAGCUUCAGUCUUUCUUGCUCUCUCUGGCUCUCUCUGGCCCUCACUCUUACUCUCUUGCACUCUUGCUCUCCCCCUCCCUCCCUUACUCUAACAGCUGAAUACACAGUACUUGUUGAUGUACCAAAAAGGCAUUCAACCAUUUCGUUAUUGAUCGUCUUUUAUUUCCUUUUUUUAUUUUUUUUCAAAAUAACACUGCUGUAAUACAUACUGGUGCUUUUAUUUAUAUAGGUUGGAUUCCCAGAAAUACUAUGUAGGCAUAUGUUUCAGAAAUAUUACAAGAUUACUAUCCAAAAUGAAAGCGCCCGUUCCAGCGUCCUCUCCAGCACUCUUUAAUGCUUGAAAAUAUGAAAGGCUAAAAAUUGCAUUGUAUUGCUUGUUAGUUUAAUUGCCUUUUGUCUGAGUUCAAAGAGGUUUGUUGUUGUUGCUGUCCUUGUUUCUGUUUGGAUUUUUCUCUGAUUUGCCUGUUCUUACCCUUUGCUCAUGUAUCUAUUGAUGUUUUUCAUUAUAAAUUUGUAGAAAUUCUUACUACAUAGUGCAUAUUAAUCAUUUGUAGCUCUAAUGUGUUAUGACGUUUUCAUCUUGACUUUAUUGAUGAUAUAUUUUCCUUUAAAAUUUUUAAACUUUUUAGGUAGACCCUUAUCUCUUUUAUAGAUUUUGGUUUCCUUUUUUUAUCACAUGGAUGCCCCCACCCAAAGUCAUACAAAUAUUCACCUACAUUUUCUUCUAAUAACUUUAUUAUUUUUAAUGUUUAAAUGUUUGAUCCAUCUGAAAUUUAUUUUUGUAUAUGGUGUAAGAUGGGGAUCCAGCUAUAACAUUUUGUUCACAUUGGAUACCUGAUUGUGACAUUUAUUUAAAAUGUUACCCAUUUUCAAAUUUCUGAGCCAAUAUCAUGAUUUAAUUAUAGUGGCUUCAUCGUAAGUUUUAGAAUCCGAUAAAGCAAGUCCCACUUCAUUAGUUUUUUUUUUCUUUAUAUAAUAUGUCCUAGACAUUCAUUUUUUCAUGUGAAAAAAUGAAAUGCAGAAUUUUAAUAAAAUUCUAAUUAUGAUGGCUGACAUCACAAUUAAAAUCCUGCAUUUUUGUUUAGAGGGCUCUUUAAUAAUAUUAAAUCUUAGCACUCAAGAGUCUUCGUACAUCAUUGAAAUCUUUUGGUCUUGUUAUUGGAAUAUUCUUCACGUAAGUAUAUCAUAGCUAACUGAAUUUAUUUCUAAGUAUUUUUACAGUUUUAUUUCAUAUUUUGACAUUGUGAAUUGGUUUUUUUCUUCUCAUUUGUAAUUAGCUAUUUUUGACAAUAUAGACAACCUAUAGAUUUUUGUAUUUUUAUCUUCUGUCUAAUGAGCUUAUUUAAUCAUUGAAAUUACAGUAGAUUUUUAAGAAUAUAAUAUUUUGGGUUUUCUAGAUAUGAAAUUAUUUCACCUGAACAUAUAGAUCAUUUUAUUUCCUCUUAAUGUUUAUACUGAUUACUGUUACAUUAGCUGGAUUUUUCAAAACAAUGUUGAAGAGUGAUGACAGACGUGACUGUCUUGUUCUUAAUUUUCAUGGAAGUAAGAAUGCAAAAUAUUAAUAGGGAAUAGUAUUCCCUAUUAGUAUGACAUUUACUUUUGGUUAUUAGUAGGUAGUCAUUAACAUGUUUAAGAGUUUCCGCUAUUCCUGUUUUAUAGUGUUAUUGCUAGAAGUGGUUCCUGAAUUUUAUAAAAUGCCUUUUCAGCAUCUAUUGAUAAAAUUGUAUGAUUUUUUUUCUCUUUAAUUUGUUGAUGUAAUGAAUUAGAAUGGUAGGCAUUUGAUGUGGAACCAAACUUGUAUUUCUGGAACAAAUACUACUUGGUCAUUGUGAAAUAAUGAUUUGCUACAUGAGUGGAUUUUAUUUACCAGUAUUUAAUUUAGAAUUAUUGCAUUUUCAUUCCAAAGUAAAAUUGUAUUUUGUCCUUCUGAUGCUAUCUUUAUCAAGUUUUGUUAUUGAAGUUGUGCUAGCUUUAAAAAAAUAUGAAUAUGUGAGUUUUCAAUUUUUUUCCUGUGGUCUGGAAUAAUUUAAAUAGCAUUAGAAUUAUUUGUUUGUUAAAAGUUAGCUAGGACAAAGUGUAAAACAAUCUAAUCCUGAUGACACUUUUAAUAGUAGAUUUUUAAUCAGCUUUGUGAUUUCUUUAAUAGUUAUUGGUUUAUUCAGGCUUUUUAUUAAAAAGGUAUAUACAUUCUCUGUGACAUACAAAGUUAAAAGUUCUCUAUUAUUGCUGAUUGUACUGGUUGUUGCUUGUUGACUGUACUAUUCAGAUGGCUUUAUGCUUUUGUGUAUUUUAUGUCACCUAGAUCUAAUUCUGAAAACAUUGUAAUAAAAUAAUUAGCUAUAAUGGUAUUUUCAAUUAUCUUUGUAUUUUAUUUAUCAAAAUUAAAUCAAAAUAUAGGAAAGUAUGAAAGAUAUGACAAACAUUUUCUCACCUCCACCCAAAAUUAAUAAGUGUCAACAUUUUGGCCUAUUUGAUAUAGAUAGAGAUAUAUAUUAUUAAACAGUCAGAAAAUUACAGAUAAUAAAUAUCUUUCCCAGUACCAUCCCACUUCCAUUCUUUGAAUAGGCAGACACUGUAAUUAAUUUGGUAUGAUUCUUGCCCAUGUUUUAUGUUUUUACUACAUAUUAUCACCAUAACUGAUAAUAGUAUUGAUUUUUAUGUUUUUUUUUUUUUUAAAUUUCCCCAUGAAUGAUGAACUUUAAACCAUGUGGAGUUUAUUUUAUGUUUUGUUGUAAGGAUCUGUGUUUCUCCAGUGGAAAAACAGAUUGCAACAACACAACCAAUAGGACUGACCUUAGAAUGCUAGUUACUGUUUCAGGCACUUUUACCACUCCUGAUACGCAGAGAGGCGUGGCCCUAACUGAGGCCCUGAGGUUUCAAUUAAAAUGACAAAAAUCUCAGUUCUCACAGAGCUUGCUUUCUUGUUAAUGGGAGGCAUAUACCCGCCACCCACCCCUGAUGUUUAGGCCAGACAUAGGCCCUAUGUUGUCUUACGAUGAUUUUGGUGUUAUUCCACAUUCUGACACUCAGAGGGAGGCUAGCUCUAAUCCUGCCAUUGUUUCAAGUGUUUGGGACAUAGCAGAUCAAACAAAAAUCUUCCUUUCUUAGACAAUGAUAACAACAACAUACAUAAAUAUUAUUGCUUCCUAGUUCCUGUUCUCCCACUAGGCCCUAAGUCCUGAACCAUGCAUUAUAUUGUUCCCAUUGAUGAUGGUUGGGGCUGGGAGAUAGAACAGUGAACUAUCUAGACAAAAUCACUACUGCUUUAGAGCAUACAUCCUAAAGGAGUAAGGAAGACAGCCAUCACCAUUCUUACAUCCCUGGCCCUUAGGCUUUAUAUUGUCUCAUAGGAAUUUGGGGAUAUCCCACAAUGUGCCACUCAGAGCAAGAUUUGACCCUAGUUCUGACUCCUAUAGAUUGAGGAUAUGAAAGUGAGAUAGAUGAAGUCAAAAUGAACAUUCAAGCCUACAUAGCUUCAGAAUUCCACUGUAUAUUCUGAAAUGAUAUGGCAAAAAUGUCAGAGACUAGAGCAAAGAAUGCUGGCUAGAAGAUUACAGGAGUAAGUCAGACAGAAAUUUUUAGUUAAUAAUUUUAGAAAUGCAUAUUAAGGUGCAUUGUGAGGGAGAGUUAACAUUGUAGCUGAUUAAUUUUGUAAGGAAACUGACUAUGUAGUAAUCAAAGGCCUCCAGGAUUAUGAGUUAUCUGCAAAAAUCAGAGAGUUAAUGUACGGGAACGGACAAGAUUUUAAGAGUCAGUUUAAAACAAAACACAAGAAUAAGGGCUAGAUAAGUAAGUAUAGGUGUACAGUGAUCAUACUUUUUCUCCAUUUUAGUCUGUAUCUAAAUAGGCUCAAAAAAGUGAAUGAAGUGUGAAAUGUCUACAUUGUCUAUUGUUUGGACAAAAUAUUUUCUUUAAAGAUAGAAAAAAGUUUGCUAUCUGUAAAUUGGCUAUUUCACUGAACUAAUUAAUUCUAAGUAUGGAUUUCUUUUUUUUUUUUUAAACAGUGUCCUGCUCUGUCAUCCAGGUUGAAGUGCAGUGGGCGAUCAUGGCUCACGGCAGCCUCGACCUCCCAAGAUCAAGCAAUCCUCCCACCUCAGCCUCUUGAGUAGCUGGGAGUACAGGCACAAGCUACCAUGCCCAGCUAAUUUUUGAUAUUUUAUAAAGAUGAGGUUUCGCCAUGUUGCCCUGGCUGGUCUCGAACUCGAGCUCAAGGCAAUCCACCUGCCUCAGCCUCCCAAAGUGUUGGUAUUACAGGUGUGAGCAACUAUGCUUAGCCCUGGUUUUACUUUUAACUGUAUGACCUAUAUUCAGGACUUUUGAAAAUGUAAAGAAUCCAUGUUUUCUCUCCUUCACAAAUUUUCCACAUGCAUCCUUCAUUCUCUUGUUGACUGUUCAUACCAUAAAAGAUUUAGGUUCAUUUUUAAAGACAUCUAGAUAACUGCAAAAGGAAGUGACAUUAGCGCUUCUCAUAAAUCAGGGUUUCUGGUAUGAUUACUUUGAUUAGUACUUGUUUAUUUAAUCAUUCAUUUAUUUAUGAAAUAAUAACCCAGGAUCCUCUGACAAAAUGUGCAAGAUGUUUUUCUGGGUGCCAUGCUGGGAAACCAAGAUGAAUAACACAUGGUCUUUUAUAUGUUCUUUUAUGGCCUUCAAAUCAAUAGCAGAGACAAAAAGUUGCCUUUAAAGCAAUAGCAGAGGCAAAAGAUGGGUAUAAAACCCUGUAUAACAACGUAAAAAGAAUGUGAUAAAUGUUAUUUAAAGGGUCACAGGGGUACAUAUAUACUGUUAAUUCAGGUGACAGAGAGAGAGCUCAUUUCAUAGAAGUUGAUAUUAAUCUUCAUUAUGUUACACAAGCAAGAGGGUUUCUAAGUUGAUGAUUUCAUAGUACCAACAUAGCAAAUUAUAUAUAU